Molecule: ribosomal RNA, 446 nt
Filed under: uncultured bacterium
Lineage: Bacteria
Description: bacterial SSU rRNA
Rfam family: Bacterial small subunit ribosomal RNA
Source: RNAcentral
GAUGAACGCUGGCGGCGUGCUUAACACAUGCAAGUCGAACGGGAAAUAUUUCAUUGAGACUUCGGUGGAUUUGAUCUAUUUCUAGUGGCGGACGGGCGAGUAACGCGUGGGUAACCUGCCUUAUACAGGGGGAUAACAGUCAGAAAUGGCUGCUAAUACCGCAUAAGCGCACAGAGCUGCAUGGCUCAGUGUGAAAAACUCCGGUGGUAUAAGAUGGACCCGCGUUGGAUUAGCUAGUUGGUGGGGUAACGGCCCACCAAGGCGACGAUCCAUAGCCGGCCUGAGAGGGUGAACGGCCACAUUGGGACUGAGACACGGCCCAGACUCCUACGGGAGGCAGCAGUGGGGAAUAUUGCACAAUGGGGGAAACCCUGAUGCAGCGACGCCGCGUGAAGGAAGAAGUAUCUCGGUAUGUAAACUUCUAUCAGCAGGGAAGAUAGUGACGG